Onychostruthus taczanowskii (white-rumped snowfinch) is the source of this 631-nucleotide long non-coding RNA. RefSeq lists it as uncharacterized. The record is from RefSeq and is a predicted model, not a curated record. The transcript is spliced from 4 exons. Lineage: Eukaryota; Metazoa; Chordata; Aves; Passeriformes; Passeridae.
AAUAGAUCUGUGGUCUGUAGUCCAAAUGUCUACAUGAAAAUUGGAUGGUAUGCAGUAUGGAGGCAUAGCAGAUGUGCCUUGAUCCCACUGAACAUCUUAGGAGACUGUUUCCAUGCAGUCACCACUCUUUCUCUAGAGCUAUAGAAAUGUGGCCUGCCAGAGGUUUAAGAGCAGAAGCUUGAGGGUAUUGAGUUUUGCAGGACAGUGCAAAUAAGACAAUGAUGUCACUUCAUAAAUCUAAGUUUUGUCAGCACCUUCAGAUUUGACAUUUUGGUACUUCAAGAAUAUCUCAAAGGUAAACAGAACUGAUAAAACUUCAAUAUGAGCCUAAGGGAUUAUCAAGUUUUGGAGUGAUUUCUACCUGAGAACUGAAAUUACCUGGUUGGAACUCAUCAGUAGAGGGAAAUACAGCAGAAGAAUCCUGAAAUACUGUGAGUUGGAAGGGACUCACCAGGAUCACUGAGUCCAAUUCUUAAGUGAAUGACCUGUACAGGCACUGAACCCAUAACAUUGGUGUUGUUACCACCAUGCUUUGAUGCUGGAUAUAUGCAUGUAAUUUCCCUGCUCAGCUGGCUUCUGCUCCAUGUUCCUGCUAGCAACAAAUCAAAUUAAAUAAAUGGAAUGUAACACA